GAUGAACGCUGGCGGCGUGCCUAAUACAUGCAAGUCGAGCGAACAGACGAGGAUCUUGCUCCUCUGCCGUUAGCGGCGGACGGGUGAGUAACACGUGGAUAACCGACCUAUAAGACUGUGAUAACUUCGGGAAACCGGAUCUAGUACCGGAUAAUAUAUUGAACGUCAUGGUUCAAUGGACAAAGACGGUUUUGCUGUCCCUAAUAGAUGGAUCCGCGCCGCAUUAGCUAGUUGGUAAGGUAACGGCCUACCAAGGCAACGAUGCGUAGCUGACCUGAGAGGGUGAUCGGCCACACUGGAACUGAGACACGGUCCAGACUCCUACGGGAGGCAGCAGUAGGGAAUCUUCCGCAAUGGGCGAAAGCCUGACGGAGCAACGCCGCGUGAGUGAUGAAGGUCUUCGGAUCGUAAAACUCUGUUAUUAGGGAAGAACAAAUGUGUAAGUAACUAUGCACGUCUUGACGGUACCUAAUCAGAAAGCCACGGCUAACUACGUG
This 497-nucleotide ribosomal RNA is filed under the name uncultured bacterium. RNAcentral's name for it is "partial 16S ribosomal RNA". It matches the Rfam family "Bacterial small subunit ribosomal RNA", at positions 28 to 507 of the family's 1533-position model. The record is from RNAcentral.